This 204-nucleotide ribosomal RNA is filed under the name Heteropneustes fossilis (stinging catfish). Its description in RNAcentral is "partial 16S ribosomal RNA". Lineage: Eukaryota; Metazoa; Chordata; Actinopteri; Siluriformes; Heteropneustidae. The record is from RNAcentral.
UAAAAAGCUAGCUUAAUCACCUAAACAAUGACAACAGCAUUAAAACAUUUCACAAAACCACAACACACAAAACUAAAACAUUCUCCCGCCCAAGUAAGUGAGACAGAAAAGGCCAACACAAAGCAAUAAAAAAGUACCGCAAGGGAAAGCUGAAAGAGAAAUGAAAUAAAUCAUUAAAGCACAACAAAGCAGAGACCAACACUC